GGGAGUUUGGUCUAGUGGUAUGAUUCUCAGCUUCCGGUGCGAAGAGGCCGCGAGGUUCGAUUCUCGCAAACUCCCC
This 76-nucleotide transfer RNA is filed under the name Pleodorina starrii. RNAcentral describes it as "tRNA-Arg". Lineage: Eukaryota; Viridiplantae; Chlorophyta; Chlorophyceae; Chlamydomonadales; Volvocaceae. The record is from RNAcentral.